UACGAAGGGGGCUAGCGUUGCUCGGAAUCACUGGGCGUAAAGGGUGCGUAGGCGGGUCUUUAAGUCAGGGGUGAAAUCCUGGAGCUCAACUCCAGAACUGCCUUUGAUACUGAGGAUCUUGAGUUCGGGAGAGGUGAGUGGAACUGCGAGUGUAGAGGUGAAAUUCGUAGAUAUCGGGAAGAACACCCGUGGCGAAGGCGGCUCUCUGGGACGGUACUGACGCUGAGACGCGAAAGCGUGGGGAGCGAACAGG
This 253-nucleotide ribosomal RNA is filed under the name uncultured bacterium. Its description in RNAcentral is "partial 16S ribosomal RNA". It matches the Rfam family "Bacterial small subunit ribosomal RNA", at positions 524 to 776 of the family's 1533-position model. The record is from RNAcentral.